UCCCUGGUGGUCCAGUGGUCAGAAGACUCUGCACUUCCAAUGCAGGGUCAUGGGUUCUAUCCCUGGCUGGGGAA
Molecule: transfer RNA, 74 nt
Filed under: Bos taurus (domestic cattle)
Lineage: Eukaryota; Metazoa; Chordata; Mammalia; Artiodactyla; Bovidae
Also listed under: 2 other names
Rfam family: tRNA
About the family: Transfer RNA (tRNA) molecules are approximately 80 nucleotides in length. Their secondary structure includes four short double-helical elements and three loops (D, anti-codon, and T loops).
Source: Rfam by way of RNAcentral